RNAcentral lists this small RNA (94 nucleotides) under Staphylococcus aureus. RNAcentral's name for it is "5'UTR". The record is from RNAcentral. Lineage: Bacteria; Bacillati; Bacillota; Bacilli; Caryophanales; Staphylococcaceae.
GGAAAACACAUGAAGUAAAAAUUAAAAGCAUCACACCUAAGUAAACAGUUCAAUCAUUUUAUAAAAUCCUGGGACACUUCAUACUUGUCUCAGG